RNAcentral lists this ribosomal RNA (252 nucleotides) under uncultured bacterium. RNAcentral's name for it is "partial 16S ribosomal RNA". It matches the Rfam family "Bacterial small subunit ribosomal RNA", at positions 524 to 775 of the family's 1533-position model. The record is from RNAcentral.
UACGUAGGGUGCGAGCGUUAAUCGGAAUUACUGGGCGUAAAGCGUGCGCAGGCGGUGAUGUAAGACAGGUGUGAAAUCCCCGGGCUUAACCUGGGAACUGCAUUUGUGACUGCAUCGCUGGAGUGCGGCAGAGGGGGAUGGAAUUCCGCGUGUAGCAGUGAAAUGCGUAGAUAUGCGGAGGAACACCGAUGGCGAAGGCAAUCCCCUGGGCCUGCACUGACGCUCAUGCACGAAAGCGUGGGGAGCAACAGG